This 525-nucleotide long non-coding RNA is filed under the name Phasianus colchicus (ring-necked pheasant). Its description in RNAcentral is "lncRNA (ENSPCLG00000004229.1)". Lineage: Eukaryota; Metazoa; Chordata; Aves; Galliformes; Phasianidae. The record is from RNAcentral.
AUGCUUCUCAGACCAGAGUGUGGCUUUUUUUCUGAUUAUGGAGUUCCUGUGCCCAUCUUGUUCUUCUGGAUGUGGUCAUCAGCUGCAGAUGUGAAGGUGUAUGACCUAUCUUCUAGAAACAUCAGGCAGAGAACUGAGACUCAGUGGAUAAAGGUCCCUGGGACAAUUGAGAAACAACUUGACAGAGGGUCAAAAUAAACCCUCGUGCAGGAGCAUAGAGCUGUUCCAAGUAACCUUCUAAGGACAUUGUCUUUAUCCUAUUUUUUCAUAGGGCAGUUUCCACACUUACCAGUUCUUCUGUAUGAGGUUUCUAUGCUGUCUCCUAUCUGUAUUACUGAGCAUAGCUCUUCCAUUAGCUAAAUGCUACAAUCCCUGUCAUGGAGAAUAUCACAAAGAACACGAAUUUGGCAAAGAUUCUCUUUGAGCUAUUAUUAUCUGUAGUUACUCUGUACAGAAGGUGCUUGUUUAGCGUGAUGUCUUACUGUCUGGGACUGUGAAAUAAAAUCAGUAUAAAAGUUUUGACCA